RNAcentral lists this ribosomal RNA (465 nucleotides) under Vreelandella stevensii. RNAcentral describes it as "partial 16S ribosomal RNA". It matches the Rfam family "Bacterial small subunit ribosomal RNA", at positions 338 to 795 of the family's 1533-position model. The record is from RNAcentral. Lineage: Bacteria; Pseudomonadati; Pseudomonadota; Gammaproteobacteria; Oceanospirillales; Halomonadaceae.
CCUACGGGGCGCAGCAGUGGGGAAUAUUGGACAAUGGGCGAAAGCCUGAUCCAGCCAUGCCGCGUGUGUGAAGAAGGCCUUCGGGUUGUAAAGCACUUUCAGUGGGGAAGAAAGCCUUGGGGCUAAUACCCUCGAGGAAGGACAUCACCCACAGAAGAAGCACCGGCUAACUCCGUGCCAGCAGCCGCGGUAAUACGGAGGGUGCGAGCGUUAAUCGGAAUUACUGGGCGUAAAGCGCGCGUAGGCGGUCUGAUAAGCCGGUUGUGAAAGCCCCGGGCUCAACCUGGGAACGGCAUCCGGAACUGUCAGGCUAGAGUGCAGGAGAGGAAGGUAGAAUUCCCGGUGUAGCGGUGAAAUGCGUAGAGAUCGGGAGGAAUACCAGUGGCGAAGGCGGCCUUCUGGACUGACACUGACGCUGAGGUGCGAAAGCGUGGGUAGCAAACAGGAUUAGAUACCCGAGUCGUC